CCACCCCUAAAGCGAAUAGACCAAACCAACACCAUAAUUGCGGCAAUUGAUGCUAGAAAGUGUGCCCCAAAUGAGAAAGGUAGUGCCUUUAACCCCGUGGCCAUCUCCCUUCCCACUCUCUGAUUUUCUUCCUCUUCUGUGUUACUACAGUAUUUUUUUUUUUUUUUUAUUAACCUCAUUCCUCCAUAAAAAUAAGAAUUGUCUUCUAGUUCUACUAGCUGUCGGAGCAGUACACCCUAUGAAUGAAAAUUAAUUUCAGUUGGUUCUCCAAUAGGUGUUACUACAGUAUUUUUUUUUUUUUUUUGAUUAACCUCAUUCCUCCAUAAAAAUAAGAAUUGUCUUCUAGUUCUACUAGCUGUCGGAGCAGUACACCCUAUGAAUGAAAAUUAAUUUCAGUUGGUUCUCCAAUAGGAAAAAAAGAGCAUUCAAAAUCAUGUCUACAACUUACAAGAGGAACAUCAAAUUAAAAGAUAAUUGGACAACCUGCGUCAAAUCAAUGGCCUUGCAUAUCAAGCGUCUCGUCCAAACGUUUAACUCUUUCCAAUCCUUC
RNAcentral lists this long non-coding RNA (550 nucleotides) under Nicotiana benthamiana. Its description in RNAcentral is "long non-coding RNA (NBEN_LNC003183)". Lineage: Eukaryota; Viridiplantae; Streptophyta; Magnoliopsida; Solanales; Solanaceae. The record is from RNAcentral.